This 497-nucleotide ribosomal RNA is filed under the name uncultured bacterium. RNAcentral describes it as "partial 16S ribosomal RNA". It matches the Rfam family "Bacterial small subunit ribosomal RNA", at positions 28 to 523 of the family's 1533-position model. The record is from RNAcentral.
GAUGAACGCUGGCGGCGUGCUUAACACAUGCAAGUCGAACGAAGCACUUUAAUCCAUUUCUUCGGAUUGAAAUUUUAGUGACUGAGUGGCGGACGGGUGAGUAAUGCGUGGGUAACCUGCCUCACACAGGGGGAUAACAGUUGGAAACGGCUGCUAAUACCGCAUAAGCGCACAGUACCGCAUGGUACGGUGUGAAAAACUCCGGUGGUGUGAGAUGGACCCGCGUCUGAUUAGCUAGUUGGCAGGGUAACGGCCUACCAAGGCGACGAUCAGUCGCCGAACUGAGAGGGGGACGGGCCACAUUGGGACUGAGACACGGCCCAAACUCCUACGGGAGGCAGCAGUGGGGAAUAUUGCACAAUGGGGGAAACCCUGAUGCAGCGACGCCGCGUGAGCGAAGAAGUAUUUCGGUAUGUAAAGCUCUAUCAGCAGGGAAGAAGAAAUGACGGUACCUGACUAAGAAGCACCGGCUAAAUACGUGCCAGCAGCCGCCGUAA